GUCAACCACUCCCCCUAAAGCCCUAACGGGUUAUAGGCGGAGCUUGCGGGUAAAACCAAAGGCUCCUGGUUGACCAGGCUCAGUCCCAGAAUACCGGGACUACGUUAUUGGGGUCAGGACACCCUGGAAUGCGCGCCAGUUCCAGGCUCUGUCGGAUAAGGAUUAAACAGCAAGCUGGGAGUAGUGCAAGCCGUGUCCUUGUGGUAUGCGUCGUCCGAAAAAAGCCCCGAUAACCUUGCCGAGGCACACUUUAC
Acidithiobacillus sp. GGI-221 is the source of this 254-nucleotide non-coding RNA. The record is from Rfam. NCBI's taxonomy places the organism in Bacteria, Pseudomonadati, Pseudomonadota, Acidithiobacillia, Acidithiobacillales, Acidithiobacillaceae.